Long non-coding RNA from Triticum aestivum (bread wheat), 1134 nucleotides. RefSeq lists it as uncharacterized. NCBI's taxonomy places the organism in Eukaryota, Viridiplantae, Streptophyta, Magnoliopsida, Poales, Poaceae. The record is from RefSeq and is a predicted model, not a curated record. The transcript has 2 exons.
AACUGAAAAAGAAAAGCGGCCGCGUCCCACGCCAUGUCUUCGCCCAACCGCCUCGAUCCCCUAGCACACACCCACGAUCUCCCCAUCCGGUCACGCAGGGAAGUCCUGCCCCUGUCCCAUCCGCCCCGUCCCUCGUCCAUCUCUUCCCCAUUCCCUUCUCUUAUCCUCUUGAACCUCCUACAUGGCCCUCAUGGGCGCCGCCUCUGACCGCCGCAUCCCCGCCUUAGUGGAAGCCUCCUCCCCGUCGUCGAAGAAGGAGAAGCCCACAAACUUGCACGGCUACGGCGGCCCUAGAGGACCACACCGCCACACCGCCAUUGUGGCUCCUCCCGCAUUGAGAUCAGAUGGCGUUGGGCAAACGCUUGCCUGCACUGCCGUUGGGGGAAGAGGGACUUCUUCGUCCCACCGUUGAGGAGUUUCUCGCCAUUGGCUACACGCAUCCACCACGACAGCCCAAGAAGUUAUCGCGUUAUCUGCAGAAGCAGAUCGAUGUGUUGUGUCGGGGAUUACAUAUUUUCCUUUGGUCAUUGAUUUAACUAAGUUGAUUUUGCACAUUGGGUUGUGGUGUUUAAUUCUGCCUGUUUCUGAGUUGAUUCUGCACAUGGAUAAAUACUUUGGUGGAUGAUAUUUAUACUUAGAUGACAUCUUGAGGAGGAAUAGUGCCAGUGCGUGCCUUGGUUUCUGGACUUCCUAGGCUGAAGCUGAAGCAAGCCUCCCAUGACCAUCAUCGGAUUAUAUAUUUCCAGACGUAUACAUCCAUACAUCAGAGAGGAGAGUAUAGACGACAGAAAAGCAAACACAUGGCCGAUGCUGCUGCAUGUGAAGCUCAACAGAGGAGAUGGAAGAGGGAGAGCACCAAAAACAAUUUUUUUGUCCACAUGGAUAUCUUGAAUUUUGAUAUAUAUGAUUGCUUGGAUCUGUAGCUACCAAAUGAUAGUGAUAUACCUCUCUAAAACAUUGCAGUUAGCUGUGUUUUUUCGUAUUUGCCGAUGGCAAUUUCUUGGACCUGGUGGAUGAUCCAAAUCCAUAUAGCUUGAGAGCGGAUGGGAAAGUCUUCAGAGGCAUUUUCGUCUGUAUAUAAUUAAUUGUCUUUCCUACAUAGAAAUGAAAUGCAGUCGACCUAUUUUUUUAGAA